UUAGUUUCUAUCUUUACACGCCGUUAUCAGAUCUUAAAGAGUAUUUCUUAGCUCGUAUUACAUUUCCUGAAACCGGUUAUUCUGCAUUGUGAAAUCCAGGGCUUGAUUAUCUUUCCUUUGCUGCUUUUGAGGAAUCACCUGCGACGCACAAGGUUAUACUUGCAGGAAGGGUGAGUAUAGUAUAUCUUUCUCUAUAAAAGUAUCAACUACCUACCUAAACAUUGCUUCUGUUUCUUGAAAAUUUCCAUUGCAUUGUCAUAGUUCUGAAGGAAACCUUAUCUGUCUCUCUUUUAUCUCUUUCAAACCAUGGGAUAUGAUAUUUGCCUAGACAAGAAAGUGAAUUGGUUAGUUAAGUAGGCGUAAAAGUGAGACGAGGCACAUUCCUAACAAUCGUGAGAGUUGGCAUGAUUUUGCAGGAUAUAAUCCCUGUGGAAGCGCUGAAGCUGGAUGAUGUGGAGGUUGGAACGUACUCGCUUCAUUGCUUACCGUUGAGAUUGGUUAAUGCCGAAGGAGCACCGACGAGAUGCAUUCUCAUCAAGUGAUUCUGUUCAUCCUCUUCUCUGGAUUGGUAUACGAAACUG
Molecule: long non-coding RNA, 581 nt
Filed under: Eutrema salsugineum
Lineage: Eukaryota; Viridiplantae; Streptophyta; Magnoliopsida; Brassicales; Brassicaceae
Description: long non-coding RNA (ESAL_LNC002031)
Source: RNAcentral